Molecule: regulatory RNA element, 129 nt
Organism: Pseudobacteroides cellulosolvens
Lineage: Bacteria; Bacillati; Bacillota; Clostridia; Eubacteriales; Oscillospiraceae
Rfam family: Ribosomal protein L20 leader
About the family: This family is a putative r-protein leader autoregulatory structure found in B. subtilis and other low-GC Gram-positive bacteria. It is located in the 5' untranslated regions of mRNAs encoding initiation factor 3 followed by ribosomal proteins L35 and L20 (infC-rpmI-rplT).
Source: Rfam
AAAAUAAAGAAGAAGUUAUCCGCUUCUCACCUUACGGAUAUUAUUUGUAAGGUUAAUAGUGAAAGUUAAUCGGUAAGUCUAACUUAGCUAAAAGAGCGGAUCCAUUAUGAUCUGCUUUUAUUUGUUUUG